This is a non-coding RNA of Linepithema humile (Argentine ant), 515 nucleotides long. The record is from RefSeq and is a predicted model, not a curated record. NCBI's taxonomy places the organism in Eukaryota, Metazoa, Arthropoda, Insecta, Hymenoptera, Formicidae.
GGAAACUGCAAUAAACCAUCAACUUAGCUGCGCAUUCUUAAACCAGACGUGAUUCAAAAAUGAAAGAAGAACACAUUCUUGGUCUCACGAGAAGUGGCGAUCGCUCGGAGUCGUUUGAUGCCGCAGUACGUUCGUGGUACGUCGCGCGGUUCUCCGAAAAGUGGAGUCGACGGCGCGCGAGAUAUGGGAUGCGCGCGUAGGAAUCGCACGCGCGGCACAUGGCCCCUUUUUUUAUCGCCACUCGACGACGUGGGCGAAUCGCUUGCAAACGGACGAAAGUGUAAUUUUAACGAACUCGUAGUUCCGGUAAUUAACUUUAUAUGCAACAAUAGACGAUAUAAAAUAGAGUUCAUCAAACAUGUUGAUUGAUCAAUUUGCGCAACGGGCUUUCACCGUUUAAAGUCAGCCAAUAGAAUGUCUAAUGAAGAAAAUUACGAAUACAAUUUAUUUCGAAGUGUGUUAAAGGCAAACUGCAUCUAAAUAGCUGUUACAAUAAACAUUAAUUAAUCAAUUGA